GUGCCGCCCCCGCCCCCACCUUCUCCCUCACUCCAUAGCCCGCGCCCGCGUUCUUCCUCCCCCAUCUCGUCUCAUCUCCGGUCGCUGCAGAGCAGCCCCGUUUCGCACCGCCACCAUGGUUGGCCUGCAGCGAGCAGCAGAGGACCUAGCCGCCGCGUCCGACCUCAACCGCCGCCCGAAACCCUAGCCCCUCCUUCCAACGGCAGGUCAAGCCAGCAGGAUCCCCUCCAAGAACAGCAUUUGAUGCGCCCGACUCAUCUCUGCUUGUGCACAACAAGGAAGGCCAUGGAGACGCUGCUCCCUAUGUUCAGCGCGUGGACGGACGAUGCAGCGUUGGGGAUGACUCAUGGCUGCCUCCGUUUGUGCGGGUGACUCAUGGCCACCCCCUCUCUCAACCCCCAGAUCCGACUCCCUCCUCCACUUCUUCUGGUUUGGUUAUCUCCGCAUCUGCUCUGAUUCGGGCGUGUGUGCAGUUUGCUACGAUCUAGCGAUGGGGAUGCAAGGAGAAGCUGCUACAAGCUGCUGCGUCCAGUUACACUUUUUCCAUCAUCCACUGCGGCCUUGCUGUUCUAUUCCUAUCACUAACAUUUUCAUGAUCCCUCACACAACAUGAUUUCCAGUACAGUAGUCUCAGUGUGUUGAGCUGAAAUGUUGAAUGAUGAAUGCAGACAGUAUUGCAACAUGCAUCUUUUUGAACAUGCAGGAAAAGUGUACAAGGACAAUGUCAGAAGUGCAUAUACCAUGUGACGCUAGAAUUAUUGCAUCCGAGUUAUGGGAGAGAAAUUGAUGUCUGGACUCUGGAGUGCCGGAGUGAUCUUGUAUAUUCUUUUAUGUGGUUCACUGCCUUUCUGGGUAGAACAUAUGUGGCUCAAAGAAGGUGAUGUAUUAGACAGACCUAUCGAUGGCGGAGUCCUAUUAAGAUUUAAGAAUGAAGCAAUUCAAGGCGAUGAGCAAGCUAACACAACUAGCUCUUAAGAUAAUUGCAAAGAAACUAUCACCUGAGGAAAUCAAGGGCCCAAAACAUAUGUCAAUUACAUGGACACGGUUGAAGAACCGUCACAGUUGAGGAACUGAAGGCUGGUUUAAGAAAGUUAAGUUAAAAGAUUAAUGAAGCAGAGGUUUAGAAGCUUAUGGUAGUAGUUGUGUAGGCAAGAGUGGCAGCAUAGAUUACACUGAAUUCCUGACUGCCACGAUGAAUAUACAUAAGCUGGAAAAGGAGGAUGAUUUGCGGCAACAGUGCAAACCAUGGCGCUAAAUGUGUGCUGACAGCGCACCAGGGAGCUGCUGGCUGGCAGAGAUUUCUCACGGAAGCAACACAUAUGACAUAUCUUUGAUUCCUAUGGCAAUUCUCUCGCACUUGUUCUAUGAAACGUGUGGUAGUUCUCUUCUCUGCAUGUGGCGUGGUGGAGUUGUGGAGAAGGGAAGUGGAGGCGAGGUGACGGUUCUCUGAAUUUAGCUAUGACCCUUCCUCUCUCUGUUGUUUACAUCUUGAUCUGACAUGUUACUAUAUAUGCAUCCAUGCUGUCAAAAUCUAUGGUGUGCACCGCCACCGCAUAAACAAAUGAGUGGUCCACUAUGGUGAGUAUAGAUGCUUAAUCUGAGGGCCCACCUUAUUUUCGAUUGGGCGGGGUAGGUGGAGAGGGUGCUUAAUCUGAGGGCCCACCUCGACCUCACAUGGAGAUCGCUUCUAUAUACUUGAGUUCUGUCAUGGCCACAUAUAAUCACAUAAUAUCAUCUCUCAGAAUGUCCCCUGUUCGUCAUGGAUUGCACAUCUUGGUCAUAUGCACCAUUUGUCUUGCGCAUCAAAGUCUAGGAGGUCGACUCGAUGACCAAAAGGUAAACAUUCAUGCAUCAAAUUAAUUUUCCACCAAGUUGUCGAAGAUUGUCAUUUACUAUUUUCCGCUGAAUAUCCAAAAAUAUGUAAAAAUAAUAAUUUUAUUUUUGCAAUUUUCAGUGCAUCCUGGAUUUAAUUUUUUAUAACAUAGUACAAUCGAAGUCGCUCACAUACACGAGCAUAACACUAACUCUCAUAUCUCAAUUAUUUGCCAUGUACGGUUAAAACCAUACGCGCUCUCUUAUUCGCUUGAAGGGAAUUUUUAGUGUUCCAUCCAUGCUCUUGAGCUCCUCGGAUGCUUGUUAUCCAUUGUCCUGUAAUUUCGUCAGUACCAAAUUAUUUGCAGUUUUCUGUGCAUUCUGAAAAUAGAAAAAGCGAAUAUUAUGGGGUGGUAGCCACAAUGGACGUCUGGGGACACCAUAUUGAUUGUAAUCAAAUCACAGCAGCGGCAAUUUGGAUCACAAACGGUGAUUCCGAUCAACGCAAUGGAAUCAUGUUUGGAUGGGUGGUACUGAAUGAAAUCUCUUUUUAUCCGCAAAAAAAGGAAGAGAAUGAAAUCUCUUUUGUUGGUCUCCGGACUUGCCUAAUUUUGUAUGUACUUUACAUAUUUUGCCUAUUUGGUUUUCUAAUUAUGAACUUCUGUGCAUUUGUAGGUUUCGCCAUCUCACUUCAACGACUCAAACACUUAUCUUUUCACCGCUUGGACAAUAUGUUCGUCUAACUUCUAUUUCAAGAGCGAUAUGUUCCUUCUACUUCAUCUUGUGCAAUAGCUUACAUGAGCUUAAUUGCCCAUCUUGCAUCAGAUGUAGUAUUUUGACUUGCAAACACUCUAGCCUCUAAUUAAACAACGAUAAUCAAACUGCAGAGAUAUACUCUUCAAAAUACAGGAUAACUAUUAUAUGAAUGGGCCUGUUAUAGGGAUUACAAAUGCUACAAUCUGUCUGCAGUUUUACAAGUAGAUAUGUGGAACGGUACAUGUAUUUGUGUUUCCUACCAUGUUUGGUGCCAUUCACUGAUCCCUUUGGCUUACUGAGAAAUUACUGGAACACUUCCAUCUAUGUGAAUUAGUUCAACUAGAGAAAUUAGGCUCUUUCAGAUCUAGGUACUUAAUAUCAUGCAUCAAGUGGUCGAAUCAAGCAUGUUGUCAACAGUAGAGUGGUGCCGGUUCUUUGGUUGAUAAGAUUGUUACUGUCCUAAAUAAAUACUGAAGUUCAGUACUAGCUCCAAUGUGAGUAGUUGAAUUACUGAUAAUGGAGGUAAUUCAGUGGUUAGCUAAAAAUGAUAAGGAUUUGAUGCAUUCACUCCCCCAUCUCAUGACGAGGGAGAAGAGUAGGGAACACAUAUGUAUCUCAUGGCUCCCGAUUUCAUACAAAUUGAUGCAUUCUCUUUUGUAACCUGAAUGCUAGAGAAAAUUCACAACAAGGUUUUCUAUUAGAUAAAAAAAUCACAACAAGGUUGAAGUAUCAUGCAAAAUGGUGGCUGAUUUUUUCAUCUCACAGUUCAUACUUUUGAUAAUAUUUUGCAAGAGUGUGGUGGUUGUACGUGUAAUCCUUGAGUUUCCUUAUUUAUAUUUUGCAAAUUAAUUAACAUUAUGCCAUUUCACCAUGUUCGUCAAAAAGCGAAUUUUGGAUUUACACUAUCUGUUCAAUAGUUCAAUGUCAGUCAGGAGAUAAAAUGAUGCAUUCCCCUUUUAUGUAGCAAUCAGCAGCGUGCUCGUAGCAACACACAUGCAUUGUGACAUGUUGCUCGUAGCAACACAUAUGCAUUGCACUCAUCUGCUUUUUCAGUUGUAAAUAAAUUACUUGUCCUGUUCCCUCCUGUCUAUAUAUGAACAAGGUUUUAUAAAUUAUGUAUUUGAAUAUUUACAGAUCAACAUAACGGAUCAUUCCUUUUCGGUUGUAAAUAAAUUACAUGGCCAACUGCCUCCGGUCUAUAUGUGAAAAGGUUUCAUAACUUCUUUAUUUGAAUAUUAUGAUAAAAGAUAAUGUCUACUGACAUUUCUUUCAAAAUAGAAGUACUUUUGUUGGUUUGUUACAUGGCGGAUGGGAUCAUUCACCAACACGCUCAACCCGAAGAUGCGUCCCGCGCUGAAGAGAAUGAGUGUUCCUACAUUUUAGACAGUGUCCAUAUCGCAGAGAUUGUAGCAACAUGCAAAUCUUGGGCGAGGUGUCCCUUUCAUGGUCAUAUUGUAUUUAGCAUGCUACUAGGGUUCCGGAACAAGCAUCAAAAUGUUUUUGUUGUACCCAGUAACUAGAUUAUCAUUAGUAACAGUAGAAUCUUACAUAAUAUUUGUAUUGCCAAAUGUAUUCCUUGUUUGUUGUGGUGCUUAAUAAAAGAGAUAAAUGCCACAUUGGUAA
Molecule: long non-coding RNA, 4191 nt
Organism: Aegilops tauschii subsp. strangulata
Lineage: Eukaryota; Viridiplantae; Streptophyta; Magnoliopsida; Poales; Poaceae
Source: RefSeq, a predicted model, not a curated record